RNAcentral lists this transfer RNA (81 nucleotides) under Perkinsus olseni. RNAcentral's name for it is "tRNA-Gln". It matches the Rfam family "tRNA". Rfam says of the family: Transfer RNA (tRNA) molecules are approximately 80 nucleotides in length. Their secondary structure includes four short double-helical elements and three loops (D, anti-codon, and T loops). Further hydrogen bonds mediate the characteristic L-shaped molecular structure. tRNAs have two regions of fundamental functional importance: the anti-codon, which is responsible for specific mRNA codon recognition, and the 3' end, to which the tRNAs corresponding amino acid is attached (by aminoacyl-tRNA synthetases). tRNAs cope with the degeneracy of the genetic code in two manners: having more than one tRNA (with a specific anti-codon) for a particular amino acid; and 'wobble' base-pairing, i.e. permitting non-standard base-pairing at the 3rd anti-codon position. The record is from RNAcentral. Lineage: Eukaryota; Perkinsozoa; Perkinsida; Perkinsidae.
GGUUCUAUAGUGUAGCGGUUAGCACUCUGGACUUUGAAUCCAGCGACUCUUUCGGAUUUGGUUCGAAUCCCGAUAGAACCU